RNAcentral lists this ribosomal RNA (1398 nucleotides) under Triticum aestivum (bread wheat). RNAcentral's name for it is "partial small subunit ribosomal RNA". The record is from RNAcentral. Lineage: Eukaryota; Viridiplantae; Streptophyta; Magnoliopsida; Poales; Poaceae.
AUGGAGGUUGUCAUGUCUGCAGUUGCAGGUGAAUUUGUGAGCAAGUUCAUCUCAUUUCUGAUGAACAAGUACAACUCCUCUAGGCAUCCUCAAUCAGAGGAGGAGAAGGUGGUGGAGAGGUUGCAGCACCUGCUAAUGAGAGCUGGUACAAUGGUUGAGGAGGCAGACACGAGGUACAUAACCAACUCCGGAAUGAUGAUGCAGCUCAAGACGCUCUCAGAGGCCAUGUAUAGAGGAUAUGGUGUGCUGGACAACUCGAGGUACCGUGACCUCCAAGACACCGCAGGCUUCGACGAGGUUAGCAUCAACCACUCAUCUGCAAGCAGCUUAUAUUUACCCAAGCGCUCUCGAACAACAAAUGAUAAGGUUACACGCCUCGAGUCACAUGGUGCGUUGGAAAGUCUAGAAAUUGUUGUUGCUAACAUGGCAGAAUUUAUUGUUCUUCUUGGUGGAUGUGAGCGCAUGUCUCGUAUGCCAUAUGAUGUUUAUCUUUACACCGAAAACUUCAUGUUCGGCCGACACGCUGAGAAGCAAAAGCUCUUCAGCUUCUUGUUGCAACACAACGACCCUCCUAGUGAUCAUGCACUGGCAGUUCUCCCGAUCAUAGGUGGUGUAACAACUGGGAAGAAAACUUUGGUUGCCCAUGUGUGCGGCGAUGAAAGGGUCCGUUCACGCUUCCCAUCUGUAUUGCACUUGAAUGGAGGCAGCCUUUUGAAAAUAUGUGAGCACAGAAGGACUAUGGAAGGUAUGAUGUUGGUAGUUAUUGAGUUUGCUUUUGAUGUAGAUGACGAUCACUGGAAAAAGUUUCACUCGUUUUUCAUAAGAAUGGAUAGAGGAAGCAAGAUCAUCAUCAUAAGUAAACUUAAAAGAUUAGCCCGGUUUGGAUCGGUGAAACCAAUUUUCCUUACUGCUCUGUCUUAUGAUGCGUUGAGGUACCUUUUCAAGACACUGGCAUUCGGAAGCGUAGAACCUACAGAACAUCCGCGACUACUACAGAUAGCAGAUGAAUUUGCCAAGUUAAUGCACAGUGCGGAUGGUUCAUUUGUCUCAGCAAAUGUGUACGCAGACAUAUUGAGAAAGAAUCUCGAUGUUCAGUUUUGGCGUUGCAUAUUGGACAAGGUGAUGAGAUAUGUUAAAAGAAACCUCGCCCGAUUUAGUGUGGACCCAGCCAUACAUGUAGAACAAGGCCCUCCAGUGGUUGUAACGGCUAUAGAACAAGGCCAUCCAGUGGUGAUAACAGACCUUGCUUUGGAUCCACUUUGCAUAAUACCUUAUACAAAUAAUGUUUCAAUCAAGGAACUGCCAAGUGUGACGUUUGGGGAACUUCUAACAGACCCUACUGUUAGACCAAACGGAGACUUUAAUCUAAUUUCAUGGAAAUCAAGGAUACCGCCUUAG